AUCCUGGAGAGGGUCUCUUGGGGGAUACAGUAAGACCCAGAGCCCAGUAGACGGUAUCCUGGAGAGGGUCUCUUGGGGGAUACAGUAAGACCCAGAGCCCAGUAGACGGUCUCCUGGAGAGGGUCUCUUGGGGGGAGACCUAAUUCUUUUCUAUUGGACUAUUAUUUGAAUAAACACCUUUGAAACUGAGCUACUCUGUCCGUGUCUGAUCUGUGUCAACGUUUUGACCCCAACCCCCUUGUCUGCCACAACAUAUGUGUGUAUUGUAUGUAUAUUUUAAUCCUGAUUGUUGAUCUAUUCAUUUAUACAUGUAUAAUUAGUAGGUUUUGUUAUCAGUUUUAACCUUAUUUAUCUCUGUAGUUAUGUAUUUUGUUUUGUGUGGUCUUCAUAUCAGCCCCUGGAGUUCCAACAUAUUGUUUUCCCUAUCACUUUUCUUUCAGUAUAAAUAUAUAAAUAGUGGUUUGCAGUCAUGAUUUUUUAUGUUUCUUUAAUCUCGACACACCCAACAGGUGGGCUGUUUAUCCACCAGACAGAAGAGCUUGAGUUUGUCUUGUUGAAACAAAAAUAAUCUGAUUAUUAAUCUAUUUAAUUUACACAUGUAUAAUUAAUAGGUUUUGUUAGAGCUUGUGUUUGUCACUGUACAGAGUACUUAGCACCUCAGAUCUUCCCAUAUCUGUUUAUGAAGCUCUCUGACAUCUUAAUAUUGACAUUUUUGGAAACACUUCUUCUGUUCCCGAUAUCCCCUUUGUUUCCAGUAUUCCCACAGACAGGUUUACAGGAAACCCCUGUGGCAAAACGGCAGGAUGACAGGAUCCUUGAAGAUGUCACGGCACACAGGGACAGAAGAAAUCCUCCUCUUGGAAAGAUGAACCAGAAACCAUUUUGUAAUGAAAUCACUGCCACUUCUCUGUAAAGAGAGCAGACAGUGACUUGUUAUCUAAUCAGAGCUUGUAAAUUCAGGGAAAUCAAGUGAGAGGGAGCCAAGAUGGCGUCGCUGUGAGAGGGAGCCAAGAUGGCGUCGCUGUGAGAGGGAGCCAAGAUGGCGUCGCUGUGAGAGGGAGCCAAGAUGGCGUCGCUGUGAGAGGGAGCCAAGAUGGCGUCGCUGUGAGAGGGAGUGUUUUCUCGCUCUUCAAAACAACAUUGAGGGUUAGGUGGUUAACAGUCAAAUAUUGUUUUAUGGACAUGGGAUAAGUUUAGAGUUAGUUUUUGUCAAGUUGAAUGGGAGGAACACGACAGAAAGACAAGAGUAGACGAAAUAUCCAAGUCUCACAGAAGACAGCAGACAUGCUAGCUAGUCACAACGAAAACCAGAGCAGCAUGGAUACACAAGAAGCCACGAACUCAAGCGAGCGAAAGAACAAAAGCUGACCAGGAUGAAAUCCUUGCAACCUCUUUACCUCAGACCCACCGGUGAAAAAAGUAAAAGACGACAUUUCCAUGUCGGAACUUUUCUCUGCAAUCCCUGUCUACUAAACAAGACGCUAUUUUCAGGUCUCUCCAGAGAUAUUCGAUCGGGUUCAAGUCCGGGCUCAGGCUGGGCCACUCAAGGACAUUCAUAGACGUGUCCCGAAGCCACUCCUGCUUUGUCUAGGCUUGCUUAGGGUCGUUGUCCUGUUGGAAGGUAAACCUUGGCCCCAGUUUACAAAUAUGCUCCGUUCAUCUUUGCCUCGAUCCUGACUAGUCUACCAGUCCCUGCCGCUGAAAAAACAUUUGCCUUUUGGCAAACCACAAGCAGGCUGUCAUUUGCCUUUUACUGAGGAGUGGCUUCCGUCUGGCCACUCUUCCAUAAAGGCCUGAUGGUGGAGUGCUGCAGAGAUGGUUGUCCUUCUGGAAGGUUCUCCCAUCUCCCGAGAGG
Long non-coding RNA from Oncorhynchus tshawytscha (Chinook salmon), 1855 nucleotides. NCBI's taxonomy places the organism in Eukaryota, Metazoa, Chordata, Actinopteri, Salmoniformes, Salmonidae. The record is from Ensembl.